RNAcentral lists this ribosomal RNA (400 nucleotides) under uncultured bacterium. RNAcentral describes it as "bacterial SSU rRNA". It matches the Rfam family "Bacterial small subunit ribosomal RNA", at positions 791 to 1194 of the family's 1533-position model. The record is from RNAcentral.
UAGUCCACGCCGUAAACGAUGGACACUUGGUGUUGGAGGUAUUGACCCCUUCAGUGCCGUAGCUAACGCGUUAAGUGUCCCGCCUGGGGAGUACGGUCGCAAGAUUAAAACUCAAAGAAAUUGACGGGGGCCCGCACAAGCGGUGGAGCAUGUGGUUUAAUUCGAUGCAACGCGAAUAACCUUACCUGGAUUUGACAUAUACAGGAAAUUAGCAGAGAUGUUGAUGCCUUCGGGCCUGUAAACAGGUGCUGCAUGGCUGUCGUCAGCUCGUGUCGUGAGAUGUUGGGUUAAGUCCCGNAACGAGCGCAACCCUUGUCUUUAGUUGCCAGCAUUUAGUUGGGCACUCUAGAGAGACUGCCGACGUUAAGUCGGAGGAAGGUGGGGAUGACGUCAAGUCCUC